AAUUCAGUGUAAAAAAUUUUAAAAGCCUUUGACACCUUGUACUUUGUUCCUCAAUAAUGAACUUAUAACUCACUAUAGGACUUUAAGAUUAGCAAAGGGCUUUAUUUCCUAUGAAGGAGGUAAUGACAUUUAUUUAGUGAUUUAACAUUUGCAAAGCACUUUACAAAUAUGAUCUCAUUUUAUCCUUAUCACAAUCCUGGAAGAAGGUACUAUUAUGAUUCCCAUUUACAGAUGAAAGAACUGAGACAGAUAGAAGUUGUCACUUGUUUAGGGAUCACAGCUGGUAAACAUCUGAGGCUAUAUUAGAAUUCAGGUCUUUGACUCUAUAAAUUACACCAAUUAGCUGUUUUGUAAUACAGAUAUCCCCAUUUUAUUUCAUGGUAUAAAACCUGGAACAUAGUGCUAUAAAAAUACUCUGUUCAUUCAUCUAUCCAUCUGUCUAUCUAUCUAUCUACCUACUUAUCCAUCGAAUGCUCUAUCCAUUUAUCCAUCCAUCCAUCUAUGGAAACAGAUAUCUUUUUUGCCUCACACUGGUUUCUCUUGUUUGGAUAAUGAGGGCAAAUUCUUUUGAGUUGAUUAUGGGCCUCAUUUGGGAGGUUCUGAUGUCCUGGGACUUAAUUACGAACACAAUACAGCUUAAUUAAAAAAAAAAACAACCUAAGAACAUCUAAAGGACCUCCCCUUCAAAAUUGAAUCCUUCUUCCAUUUGCAGUCUGGGGUGGACUGUCCUCCAUGACUAUAGUUGCAGCUUCCACCACUUAAUGACUUCUAAUUAAGCAUCAGAAGAUCAUCUGACAAAAUGAUGUCUGCUGAUAUAUUUUUCAAGGAAGCUUGUAUAAUUGUAUUAUUGUCAUGGGAGCUGAAUUGAUGGAGAAGUGUUUUUAAGGUGCCCCAUUUCUCACAUCAGAAGCUUUUUUAUAGUUGUCUUCCUUAUAACUUCCAGUCAGUUGUAUUAAAGAGGAACAUUAACUUAGCUGUUGUUCCUCUAAAUGUGAUUUCCUUAUCCAGAGACCAACAAGCAGAUAUAUUGAUGGAGGAGCUGAAUUAUAUUCACCUUAUCUUGUUAUUCCCUCCAUAAAGAAAGCUGGUGGUAAAAAAAGGAAGUUGCAGUUAAAUAGAAGGCUGGUUCAGAGGUUCUUCUUGUAGAGGCAACUCAAGGCAAAUCUACAAAUUUUGUAGGUCUUCUACCUGAUGGUCAACUGCCUGAUGAGCUAAAAGCCUACUCAUGAAAUCAAAGCCCUCUUCUCCUGACAAAGCGUUAGAAGAUUAGUGUGGAUAUCAUUCCAAAUAGCAACAAUUAAUCACAGUUGAUGAGAUCCCAAAUCCCCUGAAGUAUGGAACUUUUAUAGCAAGGUCUUCAGUCUACAGAAACAUUACAAUGUCAUUUGAACCUAACCCUUUGAUCUCCAGCCACAAACUCAUCAUAACAGUGUCUUCAUGAAUGAAUACUCAAAAGAUAAGUACCCAGAACCAUCUCUCCAACUCUGUGCAGCUACAAUACAUAACCUCUGGAUCAAAAGGCAAAGUGAUGUUGAAAGGGUCUAAGCUAUCUCAUAAAUCACAAAGGCUAUAAUACUAUCAUUGUAUGAAUGGUUCUCCUGGUUCUGCUCACUUCACUCUGUAUCAAUUCAUAGAAGUCUUCCCUAGUUUCUCUGAAACCAUCCCCUCCAACAUUUCUUAUAGCACAAUAAUAUUCCAUUAUAUUUAUAAACUGUAAUUGUUUCAGCCACUAUUGCUGACUAUAUUACAGCCACUCACAUGCCCUAUUGAUGGGGCAUCCCCUUGGUUUCCAGUUCUUUGACAUUAUGAAAAAGAACUGCUAUAAAAUAUUAUGGAUAUAUAUUUUAUAAUAACUAAAUUAUAUAUAUAUAUAUAUACAUGUAGUUUUGAAGGGGAGGUCCUCUAGAUGUUUUUGCUUUUUAAUGCAAUUAUGCUUUGAAUUGAGCCCCAGAAAAUCAGAACCUUCCAGAUGAGACCCACAAUCAACUCAA
Molecule: non-coding RNA, 1991 nt
Organism: Monodelphis domestica (gray short-tailed opossum)
Lineage: Eukaryota; Metazoa; Chordata; Mammalia; Didelphimorphia; Didelphidae
Source: RefSeq, a predicted model, not a curated record